ACAAAUGAAGUCACCGUUGAGAAACCAGACUGUCAUUCUGAUAAUGUGUCCUCUGGAUUAACUCAGUCUACCCAGCUGAAAAAUCCACGCACAAAUCCACCUGGGUUUCCGAAGACUUUCCACGUGGGUUUCCUAUAAGAUUCACAAGUGGUUAAUUUUCCAUGAGUUUGUUGCCGAAACGUCAUUAUUGCCGACGCCGUUCUGGGCAGCCGUCCCGCAGGCGCAGCGGUUAGCAGUCUUUACUCGGGUUUGCGAGACCCGGUCCCCUGCCAAGGAUGCAACACUGAAUUGCUGCGUACCUACCAACCCAAGAAUGGCGGUCCACUAAGUGCUAUCACAAAUAGAGUAAAAAUUAUUGAAAAUAUUCGUAAUGUACAUGUACUAAAUAAACCGGGGCCCGCUUUUCCGGAACCCGGUUCUUGCCAGUGCGGGGCGAUGGGAACUGCCUGUAUUAUUCCCUCGCAGCUUUGGUGCCGCAGGAAGAAAUUACGUACAGGCAUAAAGUUCUCUUGCACACAGUUAAAGUCUCACGAAGCAAAAUGCCAAAUGCUUCGUACCUACGAAGGAUUUGCUCCCUACGAAGCGUCCAAAUCCUUCGUAUUACAAAGGAUUUGGCAUUUUUCUUCGUAAGACUUUAACAGUGCAAACAGUAAAAAGGUCAUGGGAUAAGAUUUCUGUGCCACCGCAUAGGUGGUUUCUUAGGCAAGUUCCUAGACGCGCUGAUGGGACUGUGUUUCAGUCCUGGCCAGAUUUCGAUACUUGGUAAAAUGAAAUCAGGCCGCAGCAUCAAAUAAUCCGAAUGAUGGUCGUUCUGGGGAGUAUUCUGAGUUGGGAGGACUGCUAUUUUCGAGCAGUCAUUCCAGAUUUCCUAAUGCGUAACGGCAAUGCACAUUUGGAGGACCCAUCGGACUAUUUUAGGUACAUCCCAGUGAGAAAUGGAAAGUCGAAAACACGUCGAUAUGACAUCGAUUUCUAGAUCGAUUUUUUAGUCGAUUUUGGCAUCGAUUCGAUGCGGAGGUGGUCAUCGGAUCGAUACGUUGCCGAUAUUGAAACAGACAUCGUUACGACAUCGUUUCGACAUCGUUUCGAGGUCGGCCACUGAAGAGCAUCUCUUGUCGAUUGUGUAUCGAUUUUGUGUCGGACUUCCCCGACUGGAUUGAAGAGGGUAGUUUAGCCAAUAAUAAUGCAGUAUGAGAGCAUGACAUUAUAUUCUGAAUUUCAAGCCCAUAACAAAACAAACUUUGCUAUUCGCGCAUAUUUUAGCAGCUAUCUGAGCUAAAAUAAAUGAAACUAAAAGAAACAAUACAGCCAAGGAGCUAUAGGAGGAGCUCAAGACUCUUUAAAUGUUAAGUAAACAGACAAAACAAAACUUUGCCGUUUGCUUAUUUUAUCAGCUAUACUAUCUGAGCUAAAACUAAAUGUAACAUCACAGCCAAGGAGCUAGGAAGGAGAAGCCCAAAGACUCAUUAAACAUUUUGGUAAA
Molecule: long non-coding RNA, 1483 nt
Organism: Frankliniella occidentalis (western flower thrips)
Lineage: Eukaryota; Metazoa; Arthropoda; Insecta; Thysanoptera; Thripidae
Exons: 5
Source: RefSeq, a predicted model, not a curated record